RNAcentral lists this ribosomal RNA (449 nucleotides) under uncultured bacterium. RNAcentral describes it as "bacterial SSU rRNA". It matches the Rfam family "Bacterial small subunit ribosomal RNA", at positions 355 to 796 of the family's 1533-position model. The record is from RNAcentral.
UGGGGAAUCUUGCGCAAUGCGCGAAAGCGUGACGCAGCAACGCCGCGUGGGGGAAGAAGGCCUUCGGGUUGUAAACCCCUUUCAGUUGGGACGAAGCUUCGCCGGUGAAUAGCCGGCUGGAGUGACGGUACCUUCAGAAGAAGCCCCGGCUAACUACGUGCCAGCAGCCGCGGUAAUACGUAGGGGGCAAGCGUUGUCCGGAAUCAUUGGGCGUAAAGAGCGUGUAGGCGGCUCGGUAAGUCCGCUCUGAAAGCCCGGGGCUCAACCCCGGGAGGCGGGCGGAUACUGUCGGGCUAGAGUCCGGAAGAGGCGAGUGGAAUUCCUGGUGUAGCGGUGAAAUGCGCAGAUAUCAGGAGGAACACCAAUGGCGAAGGCAGCUCGCUGGGACGGUACUGACGCUGAGACGCGAAAGCGUGGGGAGCAAACAGGAUUAGAUACCCCCGUAGUCC